UGCAAAUACAAACAUAUGGAU
This 21-nucleotide non-coding RNA is filed under the name Arabidopsis thaliana (thale cress). Lineage: Eukaryota; Viridiplantae; Streptophyta; Magnoliopsida; Brassicales; Brassicaceae. The record is from RNAcentral.